Small nucleolar RNA from Heteronotia binoei (common prickly gecko), 100 nucleotides. RefSeq annotates it as small nucleolar RNA SNORD16. Lineage: Eukaryota; Metazoa; Chordata; Lepidosauria; Squamata; Gekkonidae. The transcript has a single exon. The record is from RefSeq and is a predicted model, not a curated record.
UGCCAUGAUGUCGUAAUUUGCGUCUUACUCUGUGCUUGGCGACAGUUGCCUGCUGUCAUCUGGCCAAGGCAGAUGGUUGACGACUAGCUAACACUGAGCA